RNAcentral lists this ribosomal RNA (253 nucleotides) under uncultured bacterium. RNAcentral's name for it is "partial 16S ribosomal RNA". It matches the Rfam family "Bacterial small subunit ribosomal RNA", at positions 524 to 776 of the family's 1533-position model. The record is from RNAcentral.
UACGAAGGGUGCAAGCGUUACUCGGAAUUACUGGGCGUAAAGCGCGCGUAGGCGGUUUGUUAAGUCUGAUGUGAAAUCCCUGGGCUCAACCUGGGAAUUGCAUUCGAUACUGGCGAGCUAGAGUGCGGUAGAGGAUGGCGGAAUUCCCGGUGUAGCGGUGAAAUGCGUAGAGAUCGGGAGGAACAUCUGUGGCGAAGGCGGCCAUCUGGACCAGCACUGACGCUGAGGCGCGAAAGCGUGGGGAGCAAACAGG